AUAUGUAACAAUGAACUCAUCACAGAUCUACUGUCACCUUUAAACCUACAUCACUACAUUCACUCCGUUAUACUUUUAAGUACCAUAUGCAAGUUUUCGUAAAAACUACAUUCUUUCAUUCUACAUGUGAUGGGCAGCAGAUGAGCAGUUGUUUUGACUUGUACAAAAUUUUUAAAUAUUUAGCUUUAUGCAGUUCUAUGGCUCUAUAGGGUGUAGCUUACGAAGUGUUCGACAUUGCCAGACUUUCUUUGCAUCUUUGCAAACCCCUGACAGGUAUCACAGUGGCAGCUAUCAGCUUUCUUUGUGUUUGGAUUCUGCCUGUGUUCACUAGAGAUUAUAACAAAGAAUAUAAUGGAAAAAUGCAACACUGUCGUUGCAAAUAAGAGAGCAGUGCUGGCAGAAAAACAUUAAUCUCUGGAAUUUCUCUGACGCUGUCCCACCAAGAAGGAGAUGGGGAAAUCAUAUCAGUGCUGAAUUGUGAGACUGAAACCUUCUUUCGGCAAUGCUACGUGGAUUUUUUUCUUUAUAUGCCACAAAAAGAAGCCAUAAUGGUCAUUGUUUCUCUGUAAAAUUAAAUUCUA
Oreochromis niloticus (Nile tilapia) is the source of this 581-nucleotide long non-coding RNA. RefSeq lists it as uncharacterized. The transcript is spliced from 2 exons. NCBI's taxonomy places the organism in Eukaryota, Metazoa, Chordata, Actinopteri, Cichliformes, Cichlidae. The record is from RefSeq and is a predicted model, not a curated record.